This 958-nucleotide ribosomal RNA is filed under the name Eusergestes arcticus. Its description in RNAcentral is "partial large subunit ribosomal RNA". It matches the Rfam family "Bacterial large subunit ribosomal RNA", at positions 1401 to 2700 of the family's 2925-position model. The record is from RNAcentral. Lineage: Eukaryota; Metazoa; Arthropoda; Malacostraca; Decapoda; Sergestidae.
CCCGAAAAAAGAAGAGCUAAUAUAAUAAAAAGUUAUUGUGUCAAAAAUAUUUUAAAUAUUGUAUUAGUAAUGAAAUAUUAAUCGGUUCUUUAUAUCUGGUUGCUAGUGAAUUAAAUUUAAUUUAAUGAUAUAAUAUAUAAAAUAUUGUAUUUUAAAGAAAAGGAGGAAAAGCUUCUUUUUCUAGAAAUAAUUAUAUUGAGUUUACAGCUAAAAUUGUAGCAUUAGAGUAAUUUUAAAAUUAGGCUUAGAAGCAGCCACAUUAAUAAAGCGUUUUAGCUAAUAAAUAUACAGUUAAGGAACUCGGCAAACAAUUUUCGCUUUUGCCUGUUUAUCAAAAACAUGUCUGUGCGAAGAUAUGUAGAGUCUGGCCUGCCCACUGACUUAAUAUUGUUUAAAGGGCCGCGGUAUUUUGACCGUGCGAAGGUAGCAUAAUCAUUAGUCUCUUAAUUGGAGGCUCGUAUGAAUGGUCGGACAAAAAGUAAGCUGUCUUCAACUGUAAAAAUUGAAUUUGACUUUUAAGUGAAAAGGCUUAAAUAAAACAAAGUGACGAUAAGACCCUAUAAAGCUUUAUAGUCUAAUUUUUUACUAUAAAUUAUUAAAUUGUAUAACUUAGUUCAAAAUAAAACUUUUUAGUUGGGGCGACGAAAAUAUAAUAAAAUAACUGUUUUUGUGUUAAUAAAACAAAUAUAUUUGAUUUAAAUAAAUGAUCCUUUAUUAAAGAUUAAAAAAUUAAGUUACUUUAGGGAUAACAGCGUAAUCUUCUUUGAGAGUUCAUAUCGACAAGAAGGGUUGCGACCUCGAUGUUGAAUUAAGGUUCCUUUAUGGUGUAGCAGCUAUAACAGGAGGUCUGUUCGACCUUUAAAUUCUUACAUGAUUUGAGUUCAGACCGGCGUAAGCCAGGUCGGUUUCUAUCUUUUGUAAAACAAAAAAUUAACCUAGUACGAAAGGAUUGGUUAAU